Molecule: long non-coding RNA, 1894 nt
Organism: Cercocebus atys (sooty mangabey)
Lineage: Eukaryota; Metazoa; Chordata; Mammalia; Primates; Cercopithecidae
Exons: 4
Source: RefSeq, a predicted model, not a curated record
GGGCUGUCAGCAAAUGGAUUCGUGCUUGGCUUGGGGCAGGCAUGAGAUUCCACACUGCAUCCCUCCCCUCCUGCCCUUCUCCUCCCAACAGAAGGACACAGACAGUGGCCAUAAAGGACAUAUGAAGAAAUAGCAACAUCAAUUUAGGACAUUAGGACCUAAAAUAUGCCACCUGUGGAACUUCCUAGCAGCCAGGGCAAAAGAGAAAGCCCAGUUAUACAGUUCUCAUGAUGACAGAAGGAAGUACAGGAGAGCAGUUUCUCCGAGGAAACUAAACUUCCUAGCCCUGGAUCCUAGGAGGAUUUCUCACUUUGUAGAAGAAACAAGUCUACCUAUGUAGGGGGGCUUAGAACGCUGCCCUGGGACCCCUGGGAUGCUCAACAUAUCUGCGUGAGUCUCAUUUCCUCCCAAUCCCAGGCUCCAGCCACUGACCCCGGGCGCAGAGCCCUGCCCCACUCCUCCCGAGACCCUGACUGUGAGUGAGGGCUUGACAUCAUCCACCUGUCCUGCGUGUUCCCUGCCUGGCCAGCAAAGCCACAGGCCAAAGCUCGAGAUCGACUUUUGUUCUCAACGAUGCAUUACUGCAGCAUGACCUGUCACAGUCUGCUUUACCAGAAACUUCCUUCUUUGAGAUAAACAAAGCCAUAAUGAGGCCCUCCCUAAGUGGAAGGUCCUUGCAGGAGGUGGUGGCAUAUACCUGGUGAGACCCAGGGAGGGCAGGAUCAGCACCAUGAAGAUCAAGAAUAUGUAGACUUUGGUCAUCACGAUCUGGUUUUCCCCUGACCUGCAGGAAGUCAAAGCACAGCAAAGAAAGCAAUUUCACAUACAAGUAAACGCCACUUAUCUGACUAAACAGAUUAAAUAACCUUCUCUGCUCCCUAUACAAAACAAAUGACUGAUGCCAUGGGAAGACUGAACACUGAAGGCCUGGAGUCCUGACUGGGGGCAUGGGGCGGGCAGGGGAUGCCCUGCCUGCUCAGCUCCCACUGGUCCAGCUGCAGCAUAUCAGGACUCUACUGUGUGUGUCCACAAUCCUGCUGUUUGUUACUGUGAUUACAUGAGCGGAUUGACUUAUUACUGUCACUUAUUAGAUGAACAUAAAAACAGAGAGAAAUUUUCUUUGAAAACUAAGUUGGAUACUUUGGAAAGACUUGAUAAAAGUCAAUUUCUAAAAAAAAAAAACGCUGUUAAUUAGAUGAGAGUAAAUUAACGAUAAAAGAUCAAGGGAUAUGCGAUCUAGGAAGUUUCUAUAUUCAGAAUGGCUCUGCAAAUAUCUAAAUUCUUCAUUUAUUUUAAAGAAGGCAACACUGGAAUCACAAAACAAUGAAAUAAGGAGUGGUUGAUGUAAAAUAGACAAAGGGGAGCUCUUAACAGCAGAUCCAUCCUCAAAAGAAUAGGCCUGUCCCUCUAUUAAAAGAUUGGCAAAGGAAUGCAUGUUUAUAAUACCUGCUUGAAAUCUUAAACAAAACUGCUGAAUUUAUACUUAGGUAGUUUUAAACUAUUUAUGGAGUCAGAUAAGAGCUUCAACCACACAUCAGCUCAUUGAUUAUCAUGACAACAGCCUCGCGUCCUGUAUAAUAGGGCAGGUGUUUUAACUCCAGUCCUUGGAUGAAAAACUGAGGUUCAGAAUUCAUCAGAUGGGGAGAAUGGCAAAGUGAGGACAAGGAGGCCCUCCUGCCCAGUAUGCUUUCCCAGAGAAUAAGUAACCAAAUGCAAAGUGAAAUUUAAAAAGAAAAAAAAUUUAGGGAGAUGGCUUGGCAAAGUUAAUCAUAAGAAACCAAUAGCUUUUUGAGUAAAUGCCAGUUGAGUGUUUGGCUGUUAUCCCAUUGACUCAUGUAAGAUUUUUGAAAAUCACUCAUUACCUAUACAGAAUAAAUAGUUUUUGUUGUUUUUU